AUUGAACGCUAGCGGGAUGCUUUACACAUGCAAGUCGAACGGCAGCGCGAGAGAGCUUGCUCUCUUGGCGGCGAGUGGCGAACGGGUGAGUAAUGUAUCGGAACGUGCCCAGUAGCGGGGGAUAACCACUCGAAAGAGUGGCUAAUACCGCAUACGCCCUACGGGGAAAGGGGGGGAUCGCAAGACCUCUCACUAUUGGAGCGGCCGAUAUCGGAUUAGCUAGUUGGUGGGGUAAAGGCCUACCAAGGCAACGAUUCGUAGCUGGUUUGAGAGGACGACCAGCCACACUGGGACUGAGACACGGCCCAGACUCCUACGGGAGGCAGCAGUGGGGAAUUUUGGACAAUGGGGGGAACCCUGAUCCAGCCAUCCCGCGUGUAUGAUGAAGGCCUUCGGGUUGUAAAGUACUUUUGACAGGGAAGAAACGGCACCACCUAAUACGUGGUGUUACUGACGGUACCUGUAGAAUAAGCACCGGCUAACUACGUGCCAGCAGCCGCGGUAAUACGUAGGGUGCAAGCGUUAAUCGGAAUUACUGGGCGUAAAGGGUACGCAGGCGGCUAGGAAAGAAGGAUGUGAAAUCCCAGGGCUCAACCUUGGAACUGCAUUCUUAACUGUCUAGCUAGAGUAUGUCAGAGGGGGGUAGAAUUCCACGUGUAGCAGUGAAAUGCGUAGAGAUGUGGAGGAAUACCGAUGGCGAAGGCAGCCCCCUGGGAUAAUACUGACGCUCAGGUACG
This 737-nucleotide ribosomal RNA is filed under the name uncultured beta proteobacterium. RNAcentral describes it as "bacterial SSU rRNA". It matches the Rfam family "Bacterial small subunit ribosomal RNA", at positions 28 to 755 of the family's 1533-position model. The record is from RNAcentral. Lineage: Bacteria; Pseudomonadati; Pseudomonadota; Betaproteobacteria.